GACGAACCGAGCGAACGUUGUUCGGAAUCACUGGGCUUAAAGGGCGCGUAGGCGGGUGAUCAAGUCCGGGGUGAAAUCCUCCAGCUCAACUGGAGAACUGCCUCGGAUACUGGUUGCCUCGAGGAAGGUAGGGGUGUGUGGAACGUUCAGUGGAGCGGUGAAAUGCAUUGAUAUUGAACGGAACUCCGGUGGCGAAGGCGACACACUGGACCUUUUCUGACGCUGAGGCGCGAAAGCUAGGGGAGAAAACGGG
Molecule: ribosomal RNA, 253 nt
Filed under: uncultured bacterium
Lineage: Bacteria
Description: partial 16S ribosomal RNA
Rfam family: Bacterial small subunit ribosomal RNA
Source: RNAcentral